AACGCUGGCGGCAGGCUUAACACAUGCAAGUCGAGCGGGCCCUUCGGGGUCAGCGGCGGACGGGUGAGUAACGCGUGGGAACGUGCCUUCUGGUCUGGAAUAACCCUGGGAAACUAGGGCUAAUACCGGAUACGCCCUUUUGGGGAAAGGUUUACUGCCGGAAGAUCGGCCCGCGUCUGAUUAGCUAGUUGGUGGGGUAACGGCCUACCAAGGCGACGAUCAGUAGCUGGUCUGAGAGGAUAAUCAGCCACACUGGGACUGAGACACGGCCCAGACUCCUACGGGAGGCAGCAGUGGGGAAUAUUGGACAAUGGGCGCAAGCCUGAUCCAGCCAUGCCGCGUGAGUGAUGAAGGCCUUAGGGUUGUAAAGCUCUUUUAUCCGGGACGAUAAUGACGGUACCGGAGGAAUAAGCCCCGGCUAACUUCGUG
This 429-nucleotide ribosomal RNA is filed under the name uncultured bacterium. RNAcentral's name for it is "partial 16S ribosomal RNA". It matches the Rfam family "Bacterial small subunit ribosomal RNA", at positions 32 to 507 of the family's 1533-position model. The record is from RNAcentral.